ACUCGCGCACACCCCUCAGUGCGCCCCGGGCGGGGGCUGCCGUCCUCCGCGACUCAAGAGCGAGCGCCCCCGCUCCCCGGCCCACCCGAGCCCCUCUGCGUUCCCCGCUCUUCUGUGCGGGGACAGCUGCUGCUUUGGGGGCGACGCUAAGCCGCGUGGAGGCGUCUCUGGACAGCCCCCUCCCUCCAACGAGCCCGAAAAGCCCGCGGCAGCAGCCGGGGGUCCCUACCUUCUGCGGGGGGGUCCCGAUCAGCAUCUCCAGGUAGUAGCCGCGGCCAGAGUCCCCCUGCAGGUUGUCUACCAUGGCCAAGAAGUUGGCGGCGCCCGCGGGGGACGCCAGGGCAGGCUCCAGGGCGAGCGCCAAGCCGUCGGCGUGGCGCUCGGCAGGGGUCCCGGGUCCCGGGGUGGGCGCAACUACGCGGUUCGUGGCCGCGGCCACCCGGAGGGGCAGCGUGAAGGGCGCGGGGGCCAGCUCCGGGGCGGCGCGCAGGAGCCACUGGGCCAGCAGAGGCAGCAGCAGCGCCCGGGCCAGUGCGCCCAUGCCCACGGCGGGGCCCGGGGGGCGCGCCCAGCCUAGCCGGUCCCGUCCCGUCCGGCAGCCGCGGCUCAGCGACUCGGCCGGCGCGCGGGGCUGCGGGCAGGGAUGGGCGCGCACCGGGACCGGCGGCGGCGGGGAGGACGGGAGGAGGGCCCAGGGGAGGAGGCUCGCGGGAGGGGAGGAGGCUCGCGGGAGGGGAGAAGGCGGAGGCCGGGGAGGCGGGCGCGGAGGCGCAGAGCCGCCCCAGCCCGCGCCGCCAAGUUGGGCAAGUUCUUCUCCGCUGCCCCCUCUGGCGGCCGCGACUGCCCCGCAGCGGCCCAGCCCCUCCCCCGCGGCCAAGGUCACAGCGGGGCUCGGGGGGCGCCGGGGUCCACCUGCGCCUGCCCUCCCCACCCUCGCCGGGCUCAGGCCGCGCCUCUUCCCCGGGAAACUCGAGUCCCGAAUUUCCUCGGAAAGCGCCCCAGCGGCCACGGCCAACGGAUGUGACGAGGCUCAUCUGAUACCGGGGGGAAAGUUUCGAGAACCCUUAAAGGGGCAGCGAGGGCCUGAACUAGGGCCCCGGCCCCGCGCGCUUGGGGGUCCGCGGGGGUCUAUUCGCCCGGCAGUGGCGGGAGCUUCCGGGGGUGACUCGGAGGUCAGCGAGGAGAGCGGUGGAUCGGGAAGGAGCCUGGAGCCUCGCGCGCCUUUCCGAG
Molecule: long non-coding RNA, 1230 nt
Filed under: Homo sapiens (human)
Lineage: Eukaryota; Metazoa; Chordata; Mammalia; Primates; Hominidae
Description: non-protein coding lnc-TMPRSS2-83:11
Source: RNAcentral